AGGGAAGCGUCACAUCGAUUUUGUCCACGAAAAACGUCACAUGGAUAUUCUGGAAUCAUCUACAAAGUACACAAACUCCAGUAUUUUCGUAAGUGUAUUUAUAUUUUAAGUCUAUUUGUUAUUGUAUGUCGAUAAUUAGGUCCUGGCCUUGCCGGCAAUUCGAAGAUAAGGGUUCUCAGUUAUGUUGGGGACAGGGCUUGGAUGAAGUACCUAGAUUU
Non-coding RNA from Paramuricea clavata, 218 nucleotides. Lineage: Eukaryota; Metazoa; Cnidaria; Anthozoa; Malacalcyonacea; Plexauridae. The record is from the annotation of a GenBank genome assembly.